Brassica napus (rape) is the source of this 1283-nucleotide long non-coding RNA. RefSeq lists it as uncharacterized. The transcript has 3 exons. The record is from RefSeq and is a predicted model, not a curated record. Lineage: Eukaryota; Viridiplantae; Streptophyta; Magnoliopsida; Brassicales; Brassicaceae.
UAUACUAUUAAAACAAGUUACACUUCGGAUUUUUAACACUAAUUGCCCUAACUUUUAGCCUAGCUACAUUUUUCCAUUAAAGGUAAUUUAGUCGUUUUAAGUCAUUCUGAUUUUUUCUCUAAACUGCGUUGUUUUCGUUAACAAAUAAACAAGAAAAUCUGUAAUCAAUUAUUAAACCCAAUAUUCUUUGCUUGAUUGGUUAGUAUAGUCUUUCCAAAUUUAUAGGUAACCAUUUUUAGUGUAUCAACCAUAUAUUGUAUAUAAUUUAUUAUUUAUAUCAGAUUUGAUAUCACGUAGAAGAGAAUAUACCAUUGGAUUUAGUACUUUGCUUUCAAAAUUUAUCAAAAUAAAUCGGAUCCUAUAUUGAAGCCACAAGAAUAUAGCACUAUAUACUCAAUUUUAAAAAUAUAGAAACAAGAGAAUAUGUACACUAUCUUUUGUUCAUAUAUUCUAUAUCCGCAACGGAUUUGUAACAACUAUAUUCUACAGAAUAUCUUAAAUACUGGCGGGGUAAAAGGGAAACAUAACAAACCAACUCAUAUAUAUUAUAUACUCUAUAGAUCCCAUCGUCUCUCAUUUUUCCACAACCAGAAACGACAUCCCUGGGCACUUGACACGUUCGAAAGAAUCAUAGAAGCUUCAAGAGGAAAAUAAAUCGUUAUGUGUCUCUGAUCCAGACAGAGCUUUCAUAUCCAGCAAGGUUCUUUAGGAUCCAACAUCUCCAACCUUUACUGUUUUCUCUUCUGUAACUAAUGUUAUGUGUUUCGCAGAUGAGAAGAAGUGAAAAAAACUAGCCAAGUAUUUUCCUAUUUCUAUAGUUACUGGUAGAUGCAUAGACAAUGUAUAUUUUAUAAUAUUUUCAUCUACUAUUUUGAAUGAUCAAAAUUUAAUUGAUUAACUAUAUGCAAAAUAUUUUUAAAGGUUUAUAGUUUUGUGAAGCUAGCAGAACUGUAUUAUGCUGGAAGCCAUGGGAUGGAUAUUAAAGGUCCAACAAAAGGAUAAACCAUCUGUUCUUAAUCAACCAGCUGGCGGCUCUCUUCCCAUGAUCGAUGAGGUUAUUAAACAAUUAGUGGAGAAAACCAAAUCAACACCAGGAGCCAAAUUGGAGAACAACAAGUUCUGUCUUUCUGUACACUUCCAUUGCGUCGAUGAAAAAGUAAAAAUUUACUUCAUAGUUACAAAAAGUUCCAAGUUAUGUAUAUUAUAAAGCUAGAGUAUCUCUCUAGAAGUUCCAGUGUAUUAAAUGUUAAUCAAUAUUUAUAUUAUUCUGUUAUAUGGUGACA